Molecule: long non-coding RNA, 1158 nt
Organism: Panthera uncia (snow leopard)
Lineage: Eukaryota; Metazoa; Chordata; Mammalia; Carnivora; Felidae
Exons: 3
Source: RefSeq, a predicted model, not a curated record
AACCAAGCCUCUGCUCCCAGGGUUGCAAUUUUCCGCCCCACCCCCUGCCCUCUGCGGAGGGGGAGGGCCCGGAGGUUGACUCUGUGGGCCUCCAUCCGGCCUGUUGGGAAACUUCCAGAGACAUCCCCAGGGAGGGGGUUCAGAGAGCUUCCUGGCCUGUGGACGCACGCAGGUGUGGGGAGAGAGGUGCUCCCGGAGAGGCCACGGGAGUUCUGCCCCCUUCCCCACACCUGGCCCUGUGCAUGACCUCCUCUGGCUGGCCCUGAGUCCUGUCCUGUCACCAUCAACCGUGGCCCGUCCAGGAUCCAUUCUGGGACCCCACGUUAUAUCUUGGCCACGGUGGCUGACUGUCCUCCUGCAUGGGGAAGGCCCUACAUCUUUCCUGAUGGCCCUACAUCUUUCCUGAUCUUUCGUGACCUGAACACUUAAAGAAUAAUGGUAAGUGUUUUGUUGAAUAUCUCUCAAUCCGCACCUGUCUGAUGUUUUGUGGGAAGGACGCACUCCUCAAACCGAAGGAGCUUACGAGAGACAGCGUAUCAGCGGGGGACAUGCAGAGAGAGAGGGAGACACCAAGUCAGAAGCAGGCUCCAGGCUCUGAGCUGUCAGCACCGAGCCCGACGCGGGGCUCGAACUCACAGACCUUGAGAUCGUGACCUGAGCUGAAGUCGGUCGCUUAACUGACCGAGUCACCCAGGCGCCCCAGGAUUCUUUUUUCUUAUUGGAAUUUUUACCCAUCAGCUGGAUGACAGUGUUCAGGUAGGUGACUAUUGGUUCAUCGCAUGGCUGUGAUAGCUUACUUGUCCUAGGCGCAUGGAAUGUGUAGGAUUAUGACAUUUUAUGUGCAUAUGUGUGUGCGCGUGCUCGCGUGCACAUUUUCCUUGUAAGAUUGCAUAACAGAAGGGUCAAACCUUUAUCUUCUCCAUGUUCCAAAAGAUUCCACUUUGUUUCCACUUCUACGUAACCUUCCAAAUGGAACUGAUUCCCGAGCGUGAUGAAAGGGAAAAAAAACCAAAAACAUUUUCAAGUACACAGGAACAAACCUUUUGAAACAGGAGGAGAAGGGCACAUGUGUUUCAACAGGCCAUGUGGAAUACAGUUUACUCAGUAAUUACGACCACGAUAGCUGUUUAUUUUUUCCACUCUGCGGCAUUUCUCCCU